RNAcentral lists this long non-coding RNA (551 nucleotides) under Olea europaea subsp. europaea. The record is from RNAcentral. Lineage: Eukaryota; Viridiplantae; Streptophyta; Magnoliopsida; Lamiales; Oleaceae.
UAUUGAAACAAGAAAAGCAAAGUGAUCUAAUAUAUUCACCAAUAGAAACAAAAAUCAAACCAACUUUGAAAAUACCAAAACGAAUAAUAAUGAUAAAGACUAUUUUUGUGUGUGAAAAAACUUUUGAGGAAGUGGGCUAGAGGGAAAUCAGUGGAGAGAUGAGAGAAAAUUUGGUCCAUGUGCUUGGAGGCCUCACAACAUGACGCCCAGAAUUGUAGAAUGACCGUCCCAAUUGUUUGAUCGAGCUUAGCCCUUGAUUUCACCUUUUUCACCGCUCUUUUCCGUCCACCUGCCAUUUUUUCUACAAGAUUCUACUCGUUUUGGCUACUCCGAGCGAAAGAACAGAGCAAGAGGAGAAUGUAUUUAAGAGGGAAUUUGCAAUAGGGUUAUAACAGCGCCCCUCCUCGCUUUUCAUCAGUUCCUCGAAAUCGCGUAAUCAGAUCCAAUGUUGAUAGUGGCAGUGCGGUGCAUCGGUUCCGCUGUUAGAGAGAGAGGGCGGCACAAAAGUGACUGUGCAGCACUCACCGCUGCGGUGGACUCAACUAUUGUAG